CCUACGGGGGGCAGCAGUAGGGAAUAUUGCUCAAUGGGGGAAACCCUGAAGCAGCAACGCCGCGUGGAGGAUGAAGGUUUUCGGAUUGUAAACUCCUUUUGUUAGAGAAGAUAAUGACGGUAUCUAACGAAUAAGCACCGGCUAAUUCCUUGCCAGCAGCCGCGGUAUUACGAAGGGUGCAAGCGUUCUUGGGAAUGACUGGGCGUAAAGAGGGCGUAGGCGGGAUAGCAAGGCGGAUGUGAAAUCCUAUGGCUUAACCAUAGAACUGCAUUUGAAACUGUUAUUCUAGAGUAUGGGAGAGGUAGGUGGAAUUCUUGGUGUAGGGGUAAAAUCCGUAGAGAUCAAGAGGAAUACUCAUUGCGAAGGCGACCUGCUAGAACAUAACUGACGCUGAUGCGCGAAAGCGUGGGGAGCAAACAGGAUUAGAUACCCGGGUAGUC
This 440-nucleotide ribosomal RNA is filed under the name uncultured bacterium. Its description in RNAcentral is "partial 16S ribosomal RNA". It matches the Rfam family "Bacterial small subunit ribosomal RNA", at positions 338 to 795 of the family's 1533-position model. The record is from RNAcentral.